RNAcentral lists this ribosomal RNA (480 nucleotides) under uncultured bacterium. RNAcentral describes it as "partial 16S ribosomal RNA". It matches the Rfam family "Bacterial small subunit ribosomal RNA", at positions 28 to 523 of the family's 1533-position model. The record is from RNAcentral.
GACGAACGCUGGCGGCGUGCUUAACACAUGCAAGUCGAACGCUGAAGCCCUUUCGGGGGUGGAUGAGUGGCGAACGGGUGAGUAACACGUGGGUAAUCUGCCCUGCACUCUGGGAUAAGCCUUGGAAACGGGGUCUAAUACCGGAUAGGACACAUCGCCGCAUGGUGUGUGUGUGGAAAGUUCCGGCGGUGCAGGUUGAGCCCGCGGCCUAUCAGCUUGUGGUGGGGUGAUGGCCUACCAAGGCGACGACGGGUAGCCGGCCUGAGAGGGUGACCGGCCACACUGGGACUGAGACACGGGCCAGACUCCUACGGGAGGCAGCAGUGGGGAAUCUUGCGCAAUGGGCGAAAGCCUGACGCAGCAACGCCGCGUGGGGGAUGACGGCCUUCGGGUUGUAAACCUCUUUCGACCGGGACGAAGGGUGACUGACGGUACCGGUAGAAGAAGCACCGGCUAACUACGUGCCAGCCGCCGCCGUAA